CACCUGUUCCCAUACCGAACACAGAAGUUAAGCUUCUUAGCGCUGAUGGUACUUGGCGGGAGACUGCCCGGGAGAGUAAGACGUUGCCAGUU
RNAcentral lists this ribosomal RNA (92 nucleotides) under Clostridia bacterium. The record is from RNAcentral. Lineage: Bacteria; Bacillati; Bacillota; Clostridia.